GAAAUGGUUUGCGAAGAAUAAACAAACCACUUCAGGUUUUCUCAGAACGACAGAAAAAACAAAUCGAAGAACACAGGCAGGUAGAUUGGUAAAUAAACCAAGAGAUUUUUCAAAGUCCGUAAGAAUAACAACAAAACUAAAAAAAAAAUUAUUAUAGUAAGAUACCAAAAUAAGUAACGUAACACUGAUGCUGGCGGUAAUGGUGGUGGUGUCGUGGUAGUAAUGGU
Long non-coding RNA from Octopus sinensis (East Asian common octopus), 227 nucleotides. RefSeq lists it as uncharacterized. NCBI's taxonomy places the organism in Eukaryota, Metazoa, Mollusca, Cephalopoda, Octopoda, Octopodidae. The record is from RefSeq and is a predicted model, not a curated record. The transcript is spliced from 3 exons.